AGAUGAGCAGGACCCUGCAGCCAGGCCCUUGUCCCUGCACCAUACCCACUGUGGAGCAGCCCAGGAUGGACAAUGGGGAGGCCUGCUUCAUCCUCAGCAG
RNAcentral lists this small RNA (100 nucleotides) under Pan troglodytes (chimpanzee). RNAcentral's name for it is "processed transcript". The record is from RNAcentral. Lineage: Eukaryota; Metazoa; Chordata; Mammalia; Primates; Hominidae.